CCUACGGGAGGCUGCAGUGAGGAAUCUUUGUCAAUGGCCGGAAGGCUGAACCAGCCAUGCCGCGUGUAGGUCAGUGCCCUAUGGGCGUUAAACUCCUUUUGUGCAGGAGCAAUAAUGGUCACGUGUGGCCAGACGAGUGUACCGUACGACUAAGCAUCGGCUAAAUCCGUGCCAGCAGCGGCGGUAAUACGGGGGAUGCAUGCGUUAUCCGGAUUUAUUGGGUUUAAAGGGGGCGUAGGUGGGUAAUUAAGGCUGCGGGGAAUGUUUGCGGCUCAAACAUCAAAUCGCCGUUGAAACUGGAGGACUUGAGUAUAUUAGAGGUAGGCGGAAUGCGUGGUGUAGCGGUGAAAUGCAUAGAUAUUACGAGGAACUCCGAUGGCGAAGGCAGCUUGCUAAGCUAUUACUGACACUGAGGCACGAAAGCGUGGGGAUCAAACAGGAUUAGAUACCCGUGUAGUC
This 459-nucleotide ribosomal RNA is filed under the name uncultured bacterium. RNAcentral describes it as "partial 16S ribosomal RNA". It matches the Rfam family "Bacterial small subunit ribosomal RNA", at positions 338 to 795 of the family's 1533-position model. The record is from RNAcentral.